Molecule: long non-coding RNA, 510 nt
Organism: Suricata suricatta (meerkat)
Lineage: Eukaryota; Metazoa; Chordata; Mammalia; Carnivora; Herpestidae
Exons: 2
Source: RefSeq, a predicted model, not a curated record
GGCACCGGGUGAGGAAGCAUGGGGCUGUUGAAUGCAGCGAGGCGAGAGGGGACACAGGCGGGACGGCAUCUCACACCCACACUGACGUCCAUCUCCCCGUGCAGCCGCGGGGGGAGGGGCUCUCCAGCCUUCCAUGUCCCAGACGGACCUCUUCUCACAGGAUCUUUAAGAUACCUACAGUUUCAAAAGUGCUUUAUUUGAAGUCUCCAGGAUAUUUGUCUAAGUGUUCCUCAUUCAGUUUUAUCCAUAAGUGAUCACUAAAUAACGGCUGGGCGAUCUCCUGACAGACCGUGAGCACGACUGCAGGGGCCACCCCAUGGGCGAGCACAGGUGUGCUGGGUGCGCCCGGGUCUCCCCAGCUCAGGGCUGCGCAGCCUUCUCACCAGUCUCGGAAGCCGGUCCGAUCUCUUCCCUGGGGUGGUGGGGGUGUCAUCGAGGCAGCUCAUUCCGUUCAGCACACCCUCCCCCUGCACCUGUGUUAACCCACCUUUCAUUAAAAGGUUUUCUUCC